CGAGCUCGCCAGACAGUCGCCGCCGGAGUUUUCCGGGGGAGGAAAGUCCGGGCUCCGCAGGGCAAGGUGCCAGGUAACGCCUGGGCGGCGCGAGCCGACGGAAAGUGCAACAGAGAGUAUACCGCCUAAGUACCUUCGGGUACCGGUAAGGGUGAAAUGGUGCGGUAAGAGCGCACCGCGUGGCUGGCAACAGUCCACGGCGAUGGUAAACCCCACCUGGAGCAAGACCAAAUAGGAAUCCAAUGGCGUGGCCCGCGCUGGAUUCGGGUAGGUUGCUUGAGGCCUGUGGUGACGCAGGCCCUAGAUGAAUGACUGUCCACGACAGAACCCGGCUUAUCGGCGAGCUCAUCAA
Molecule: RNase P RNA, 352 nt
Filed under: Marinobacter fuscus
Lineage: Bacteria; Pseudomonadati; Pseudomonadota; Gammaproteobacteria; Pseudomonadales; Marinobacteraceae
Description: RNase P RNA component class A
Rfam family: Bacterial RNase P class A
About the family: Ribonuclease P (RNase P) is a ubiquitous endoribonuclease, found in archaea, bacteria and eukarya as well as chloroplasts and mitochondria.
Source: RNAcentral